RNAcentral lists this long non-coding RNA (2636 nucleotides) under Homo sapiens (human). RNAcentral describes it as "HSALNT0051906". The record is from RNAcentral. Lineage: Eukaryota; Metazoa; Chordata; Mammalia; Primates; Hominidae.
UCAAACUGAGAACACUUACACAUAGACCAAUACAUUCAUCCAUUCAAUCUACUUUUAUUCCGGAAGACAUUUAAGUACACUGAAGUCCUUUCAUGGACCAGCAUGUCCAAGGUUUACAGAUGACAAUACAUAAAUAUCCUUGCUUCUGUCUUAAUUUGAAGACUUUCAUAGAAUAUAGAAAACAGCUGGCAUGAGGAAAUACGAAAUCAAGGGGAAGCAGAGGAGUCAACAGAAGUGAAAGCACUCUGCUUAUUUAACAACAUAUGGAUGACCUCCUAGUGAUUCCAGGGCAAAUAGAUUCUACUUGUGCCAUUUCAGAAAAAUGGAGAUUUGUCCUUAUAUUUUUAUGUAACUUAUAGAAAUGGUGAGUUAUAGCAGAAAGAGUAUAGAUUUUGGGAUCAGAUGGCCUUAAAUUCAAAACCUGGAUCUACCAGUGACUAUUCAUUGGCUCUUUAAAUCUACUUCUUGAGUUACUGUCACCUCUAUCUCCUUAGUUUCUCUUUUUUCUCUAAGUUUAUUAAUACUCUCAGAGUUUUCCUUCAGUUGUAGUUUAGCCAGGACCUCAUGGUGGGUCACUUUAGCCACUCUUAUUAACACUCUUAGCAUCCUGACCUUUUUCUGUAUUCAGCCUGCAAACUCUGGCCCGUUCAAACAUUCACUUCUCAUUCAUGUGAUGGUCGUUUGGAGGGAAGGACCCGAGUUCAUCAUACUCAUGAAGCUUGAUAUUUCUCUGUUCUGCUCCCUAGCUUCAGUGGGGCUCCCCAGAUCAUGUGAAAAUUCAUCUAAAGCUUUGAUCAGUUCCUGUUCCUGUUACCCACUGUGGGUUGCUGUUCUAAAUGUUCACCACUCUUCUGAAAUUCCUGUCACUACCACUUUACUCUCAGCAGAUGAUCUUGCCUGCAACUGUGUGGAGAGUAUUGAGGUUCUCAGACAGAAACUCUUUAGUUUACCUGUGAGAACCUGAACAAUUAUCUAUAUCUGAGCACACCUCACCAUUGUAUCCUUCCUCAGAACAAGACGUGGGCUAAGUCCUUCUGUGAUCUUGAUAUCAUCUUUUUUCCCCCAGAAUUAUGUUCCCUUUUUCCCCUCUCUCUCCCACAUUAACACCCUCUUACUUUUUGUUAGUAUUUAUUUCACAGCCAAAGACAUAUUCAGAGUUUUCCCAUCAACUCCAUAUUCCACCUUUGCCAACCAGCUCGGCUGGGGAGACCCUAACCCAGCGGCGCUAGAGGAAUUAAAGACACACACACAGAAAUAUAGAGGUGUGGAGUGGGAAAUCAGGGGUCUCACAGCCUUCAGAGCUGAGAGCCUCGAACAGAGAUUUACCCACGUAUUUAUUGACAGCAAGCCAGUGAUAAGCGUUGUUUCUAUAGAUUAUAGAUUAACUAAAAGUAUUCCUUAUGGGAAACAAAGGGAUGGGCCGAAAUAAAGGGAUGGGUUUGGCUAAUUAUCUGCAGCAGGAGCAUGUCCUUAAGGCACAGAUCGCUCAUGCUAUUGUUUGUGGCUUAAGAAUGCCUUUAAGCAGUUUUCCACCCUAGGUGGGCCAGGUGUUCCUUGCCCUCAUUCCAGUUAACCCACAACCUUCCAGUGUGGGCAUCGUGGCCAUCAUGAACAUGUCACAGUGCUGCAGAGAUUUUGUGUAUGGCCAGUUUUGGGGCCAGUUUAUGGCCAGAUUUUGGGGGAGCCUGUUCCCAACACACCUUAGCUGCUGUCUUGUUUCUCUCUCUUCAGUCCUUGUUAAAUUUCCAUAAAGCAGAGUCAGUUCCAAGGGUAGCAGUCUCAAAUGUCUGUUUGAGACUAGAAAGGUAAUAAUGACAAUGGGCAAAGAGGGCUGAGCGAAAGGUAAUUGUGGGCUCACCUUUGUCUGAAACUGACAGUCUAUCCUGUUCUUUGUUCUUAUAUGUGAAUAUGGGUCCAGUUUGGCCAAAACUUCUGAUUUUUUUUCCAAGGAAAUCAGAAAAUCUGGAUUUUUAUUUUAAAUUUCUCAAUAUUUAAAACACUGUGCAAUCCUAAUAAAGGACAUAUGUGGGCUGAGUUUGGAUUAUGGGCCUCCAGUUUUUAAUUCUUGGCCUACACUAGCUAUCUUGAUGUCUCAUGGUAUUUGAUCAACUUACUGCAGAAAGUUUUCUGCCUCUAACGCUCUUCUAAAACUUAUUUAGACCAGUGUUUCUUAGAGGUUUCAGAUUAAAGGUUUAAGAUUCAUGUGCCCAUGAAUCUUUUGGGGAUCACGUUAAAACACAAGAUUCAAUUCUGAUUCAGUAGCUCUAGGAUGAGGCCUGAGUUUUGCAUUCUAGCAAGCUGCAGUCCAAGGACCACACUUUGAGGAGCAAGGCUUCUGAGGACCUGCUUAUCUUUAGAGAUUUAUCUCAAGAUAAGCUGUUUAAGCCUUCUCCCUCCCCUGAUACCACUAAUAAAAGGGCCCUUUUUUUUUCUGUGCACCUGAUGUACCCUAAUCCAAUCUCUAUAAAUAUACCUAUAAUUAUUUAUUUUAUGUAUGUGUUUAUGUGCCUGCUUAUAAGUGCUUUCAUGGCAAGAAACAUGUCUUAACUUUUUCCCCCUCAAGCACUACUGCAAUAUUGGAAAUAAAGUAAACUUUGUCCAUCUGUUCUCAUUUCAUGUAAUACAGUCCGUAAGAC